Molecule: ribosomal RNA, 451 nt
Filed under: Oribacterium sp. oral taxon 102
Lineage: Bacteria; Bacillati; Bacillota; Clostridia; Lachnospirales; Lachnospiraceae
Description: bacterial SSU rRNA
Rfam family: Bacterial small subunit ribosomal RNA
Source: RNAcentral
GAUGAACGCUGGCGGCGUGCCUAACACAUGCAAGUCGAACGGGGUUCUAUAUCGGAAGUUUUCGGAUGGAAGAGAUAGGACCCAGUGGCGGACGGGUGAGUAACACGUGGGUAACCUGCCUCAUAGAGGGGGAUAACAGAGAGAAAUCACUGCUAAUACCGCAUAAGCACACAGGAUCGCAUGAUCCAGUGUGAAAAGAUUUAUCGCUAUGAGAUGGACUCGCGUCUGAUUAGCUGGUUGGCGGGGUAAAGGCCCACCAAGGCGACGAUCAGUAGCCGAUCUGAGAGGAUGGCCGGCCACAUUGGGACUGAGACACGGCCCAGACUCCUACGGGAGGCAGCAGUGGGGGAUAUUGCACAAUGGAGGGAACUCUGAUGCAGCAACGCCGCGUGAGUGAAGAAGUAUUUCGGUAUGUAAAGCUCUAUCAGCAGGGAAGAUGAUGACAGUACCU